GUCGAUAACGAACGAGACCUCGACCUGCUAAAUAGUUCUGGUCAUCUUCUGAUGGCUGGAUACUUCUUAGAGGGACUAUCGGUGGUUAGCCGAUGGAAGUUCGAGGCAAUAACAGGUCUGUGAUGCCCUUAGAUGUUCUGGGCUGCACGCGCGCUACACUGAUACGUUCAUCGAGCUCCUACCUUGACUGGAAAGUCUGGGUAAUCUUCGCAACAUGCAUCGUGCUGGGGAUAGAUUAUUGUAAUUAUUAAUCUUCAACGAGGAAUUCCUAGUAAACGCAAGUCAUCAACUUGCAUUGAUUACGUCCCUGCCCUUUGUACACACCGCCCGUCGCUAGUACCGAUUGAAUGGGUCU
RNAcentral lists this ribosomal RNA (355 nucleotides) under Eukaryota sp. RNAcentral's name for it is "SSU rRNA". It matches the Rfam family "Eukaryotic small subunit ribosomal RNA", at positions 1324 to 1700 of the family's 1831-position model. The record is from RNAcentral.